UGAGGAAUAUUGGUCAAUGGGCGGAAGCCUGAACCAGCCAUCCCGCGUGAAGGAAGAAGGCCUUAUGGGUUGUAAACUUCUUUUCUGUUUGAAGAAUAAGCUUGUCGUGACAAGUGAUGCCGGUAGGACAGGAUAAGCAUCGGCUAACUCCGUGCCAGCAGCCGCGGUAAUACGGAGGAUGCAAGCGUUAUCCGGAUUUAUUGGGUUUAAAGGGUGCGCAGGUGGUUUAAUAAGUCAGUGGUGAAAGUCUGCCGCUUAACGGUAGGAUUGCCAUUGAUACUGUUGGACUUGAAUAUGGAUGAGGUAGGCGGAAUGUGUAGUGUAGCGGUGAAAUGCUUAGAUAUUACACAGAACACCGAUUGCGAAGGCAGCUUACUAAUCCAUGAUUGACGCUAAGGCACGAAAGCGUGGGGAUCAAGCAG
RNAcentral lists this ribosomal RNA (422 nucleotides) under uncultured bacterium. RNAcentral describes it as "bacterial SSU rRNA". It matches the Rfam family "Bacterial small subunit ribosomal RNA", at positions 355 to 775 of the family's 1533-position model. The record is from RNAcentral.